AUUGAACGCUGGCGGCAGGCCUAACACAUGCAAGUCGACUGUAACAGGAAGCAGCUUUCUGCUUCGCUGACGAGUUGCGGACGGGUGAGUAAUUUCUGGGAAGCUGCCUGAUGGACGGGGAUAACUACUUGAAACGGUAGCCAAUACCGCAUAAUGUCGCAAGACCAAAAAGGGGGACCUUCGGGCCUCUUGCCAUCGUAAGUGCCCAGAUGGGAUUACCUUGUUUGUGGGGUCACGGCUCACCAAGGCGACCAUCCCUAGCUGGUCUGAGAGAAUGAACAGCCACACUGGAACAGAGACACGGUCCAGACUCCUACGAGAGGAAGCAGUGUAGAAUAUUGCACAAUGGGCGCAAGCCUGAUGGAGCCAGGCCGCGUGUAUGAAGAAGGCCUUCCAGUUGUAAAGUACUUUCAGCGGGGAGGAAUGGAGUAAAGUUAAUACCUUUGCUCAUUGACGUUACCCGCAGAAGAAGCACCGGCUAACUUCGUG
Molecule: ribosomal RNA, 489 nt
Filed under: uncultured bacterium
Lineage: Bacteria
Description: partial 16S ribosomal RNA
Rfam family: Bacterial small subunit ribosomal RNA
Source: RNAcentral